Molecule: ribosomal RNA, 253 nt
Filed under: uncultured bacterium
Lineage: Bacteria
Description: partial 16S ribosomal RNA
Rfam family: Bacterial small subunit ribosomal RNA
Source: RNAcentral
GACAGAGGGUGCAAACGUUGUUCGGAAUUACUGGGCGUAAAGCGAGUGUAGGCGGUUCGGUAAGUCGGAUGUGAAAGCCCCGGGCUCAACCCGGGAAGUGCACUCGAUACUGCCGAGCUAGAGUAUCGGAGAGGUUGGUGGAAUUCUCGGUGUAGAGGUGAAAUUCGUAGAUAUCGAGAGGAACACCGGUGGCGAAGGCGGCCAACUGGACGAAUACUGACGCUGAGGCUCGAAAGCGUGGGGAGCAAACAGG